GCGGACAUUAAUAGGAAUACUGUGUAAGUUACACUAAUAUACACAAAACAAAUUAGACAAAUGUAUGGAAAAUGCAUAAAUUACCUCCACACUUGUCUGAAAAAUUCAGUCCAUAACACUAUUUUCUUGUUUGAAGUUGAGCUAAUACUCCCUCAGUAAAAGAAAUGGUUAUAGAUUGAGCCAGUGUUAUUAAAAGCGCUCGCUUCUCGCUUUAAGCGAUGAAGCGAGGUGAGGCGCAGUGGUAGCGCUUUUCUAGUAAAAAGGCGACACACAUUAGAAAAACAAGCUCUUUUCUCGCUUAAGCGAGAAGCGACGAGUUAGAAAAGGCGAGAAAAAGCUCGCUUAAGCGAGCAGAAGGCGUCAGCUAGGGCUUUUUUAAAAAUUUUGGGCAAAUAAACAUACGAGCAGAAGGCAUUUGUUACCAAAACAUAUGAAGGUCUUCUUCUCCAGCCCAGCAAACUCCAGCGACGACUUCAUCUCCAGAUCUCGGUAAGUUUCUUCUUCUUCUUCUUCUUCUUCUUCUUCUUCUUCUUCUUCUUCUUCUUCUUCUUCUUCUUCUUCUUCUUCUUCUUCUUCUUCUUCUUCAUACUCUAUUUUCUGUCUUCUUCUGUUAUUCUUCUUCUCUUCUGUUAUUUUUUCAAUUUUUUCACUUUUUAAGCGCUCAUUUUUUGCCCUAAACGACUUCUUUUUCUUCUGUUAUUAAAAGUUUCUUCUGUUAUCAUGAUACGACUUCUUUUUCUUCUGUUAUGCUCUGUUUUUUGUUUUCUUCUGUGAAUUAAUUGUUUUUUUUGUUGUUGAUUAUAGUAAAUUUAAUUUGAUUAUUCAAUGGCAUCAAACCAAAAAAGAGAUCCAACUUGGGCAUAUGG
RNAcentral lists this long non-coding RNA (866 nucleotides) under Nicotiana tabacum (common tobacco). Its description in RNAcentral is "long non-coding RNA (NTAB_LNC002062)". The record is from RNAcentral. Lineage: Eukaryota; Viridiplantae; Streptophyta; Magnoliopsida; Solanales; Solanaceae.